GGUCCUACGGGAGGCAGCAGUGAGGAAUAUUGGUCAAUGGGCGAGAGCCUGAACCAGCCAAGUCGCGUGAGGGAGUACUGCCCUAUGGGUUGUAAACCUCUUUUGUCGGGGAGCAAAAGCCGGACGUGUCCGGCUGUGAGAGUACCCGAAGAAAAAGCAUCGGCUAACUCCGUGCCAGCAGCCGCGGUAAUACGUAGGUGGCAAGCGUUGUCCGGAUUUAUUGGGCGUAAAGCGAGUGCAGUCGGUUCAAUAUGUCUGACUUGACA
RNAcentral lists this ribosomal RNA (266 nucleotides) under uncultured bacterium. Its description in RNAcentral is "partial 16S ribosomal RNA". It matches the Rfam family "Bacterial small subunit ribosomal RNA", at positions 335 to 599 of the family's 1533-position model. The record is from RNAcentral.